GGAAGGUCCGGGCGUUAUCCGGAUUUAUUGGGUUUAAAGGGAGCGCAGGCGGACCUUUAAGUCAGCUGUGAAAUACGGCGGCUCAACCGUCGAACUGCAGUUGAUACUGGAGGUCUUGAGUGCACACAGGGAUGCUGGAAUUCAUGGUGUAGCGGUGAAAUGCUCAGAUAUCAUGAAGAACUCCGAUCGCGAAGGCAGGCAUCCGGGGUGCAACUGACGCUGAGGCUCGAAAGUGCGGGUAUCAAACAGGAUUAGAUACCCUGGUAGUUCGCACAGUAAACGAUGAAUACUCGCGGUUUGCGAUACAAUGUAAGCCGCCAAGUGAAAGCGUUAAGUAUUCCGCCUGGGGAGUACGCCGGCAACGGUGAAACUCAAAGGAAUUGACGG
This 387-nucleotide ribosomal RNA is filed under the name uncultured bacterium. RNAcentral's name for it is "bacterial SSU rRNA". It matches the Rfam family "Bacterial small subunit ribosomal RNA", at positions 527 to 916 of the family's 1533-position model. The record is from RNAcentral.